RNAcentral lists this ribosomal RNA (484 nucleotides) under uncultured bacterium. RNAcentral describes it as "partial 16S ribosomal RNA". It matches the Rfam family "Bacterial small subunit ribosomal RNA", at positions 30 to 507 of the family's 1533-position model. The record is from RNAcentral.
AUUAAACGCUGGCGGCAGGCCUAACACAUGCCAGUCGAGCGGAUGAAGGGAGCUUGCUCCUGGAUUCAGCGGCGGACGGGUGAGUAAUGCCUAGGAAUCUGCCUGGUAGUGGGGGAUAACGUCCGGAAAUGGGCGCUAAUACCGCAUACGUCCUGAGGGAGAAAGUGGGGGAUCUUCGGACCUCACGCUAUCAGAUGAGCCUAGGUCGGAUUAGCUAGUUGGUGGGGUAAAGGCCUACCAAGGCGACGAUCCGUAACUGGUCUGAGAGGAUGAUCAGUCACACUGGAACUGAGACACGGUCCAGACUCCUACGGGAGGCAGCAGUGGGGAAUAUUGGACAAUGGGCGAAAGCCUGAUCCAGCCAUGCCGCGUGUGUGAAGAAGGUCUUCGGAUUGUAAAGCACUUUAAGUUGGGAGGAAGGGCAGUAAGUUAAUACCUUGCUGUUUUGACGUUACCAACAGAAUAAGCACCGGCUAACUUCGUG